Molecule: small RNA, 1054 nt
Filed under: Pan troglodytes (chimpanzee)
Lineage: Eukaryota; Metazoa; Chordata; Mammalia; Primates; Hominidae
Description: retained intron
Source: RNAcentral
GGUAAUUUGAGAACCCUCGCUUGCAACAUAUCACCAUAUUAUUCACCUGUUUGAUCAACCUGGAGACCCUUUAAAGAGAUCAUCCUUCAUCAUUUAUGAUAUAAUGAAUGAAUUAAUGGGAAAGAGAUUUUCUCCAAAGGACCCGGAUGAUGAUAAGUUUUUUCAGUCAGCCAUGAGCAUAUGCGCAUCUCUCAGAGAUCUAGAACUUGCCUACCAAGUACAUGGCCUUUUAAAAACCGGAGACAACUGGAAAUUCAUUGGAUCUGAUCAACAUCGUAAUUUCUAUUAUUCCAAGUUCUUCGAUUUGAUUUGUCUAAUGGAACAAAUUGAUGUUACCUUGAAGUGGUAUGAGGACCUGAUACCUUCAGCCUACUUUCCCCACUCCCAAACAAUGAUACAUCUUCUCCAAGCGUUGGAUGUGGCCAAUCGGCUAGAAGUGAUUCCUAAAAUUUGGAAAGAUAGUAAAGAAUAUGGUCAUACUUUCCGCAGUGACCUGAGAGAAGAGAUCCUGAUGCUCAUGGCAAGGGACAAGCACCCACCAGAGCUUCAGGUGGCAUUUGCUGACUGUGCUGCUGAUAUCAAAUCUGCGUAUGAAAGCCAACUCAUCAGACAGACUGCUCAGGAUUGGCCAGCCACCUCUCUCAACUGUAUAGCUAUCCUCUUUUUAAGGGCUGGGAGAACUCAGGAAGCCUGGAAAAUGUUGGGGCUUUUCAGGAAGCAUAAUAAGAUUCCUAGGUAAGUUGAAAUCAGCCAGCUCUCUUUGGGUACAGCCUGGAAGUAGCCACAUUUGGAAUUUCUUCACCAGCCUUAGCCACCACAUUUGGGCACUCUUCUGUUAGGCAAGCAUACCGUCAACUCCCUACUAUCCAGGGCAUCCUGAGGCAAGCAGUUUUUUAUCUGUGUUCACGGAUCAUCAUACAUUGGGGCUACAUUGAAUAGAUCAUCAUGAAGUCAUACUGAAUGAAUGUUGAUAAUCCAUUUGGCCCUUUAGACUUUCUAACCUCACUGGAAACAAAUAAAAAUAAAUGUUAGACUUCAUCUUUGUCUCCAGAAA